Long non-coding RNA from Neofelis nebulosa (Clouded leopard), 3265 nucleotides. RefSeq lists it as uncharacterized. The transcript has 2 exons. The record is from RefSeq and is a predicted model, not a curated record. NCBI's taxonomy places the organism in Eukaryota, Metazoa, Chordata, Mammalia, Carnivora, Felidae.
CCUGAAAAGAGAACACGCAUGGAAUACUACUGGGUAACAAUUUCUGAAUAUUUUUUACUUGGUCAACAAAUGUUCACUAAGCGCCUAUUCUGUGACAGGUGCUGGGGUUUAGCCAUGGACAGCGAACAAGUUCUCACCCUCAUGAAGUUUAAACUUGCCCUCUCAUUUGGGAAAGACACACUAGAAGCUUUAGGGAGCCUGCACAUUAGACGCCAGCACACUGACCUCAUGGAAGUAACUGAAGCUCAUGGAAGAGCUCAUGGAAGUAACUGAAGACAGAAAAGGUUGAGGACUGGGCUCUGGGGCCUCCCCACCCGGGGUCAUAUGUGUAAGAUCCAACCGAGGAGUUGGCAGAGGGAUGGGAGGGAGGAGAACAAGUGAAGGAAUGUUUCACAGAGGGAGAGACCAACAGCUCAGGUAAAUGAGGACUGAAAAUGACCCUUUGGAUUCAGACACUGUUGCGCUGUGUACACAACCAUGUUAUCUACAACAUACACUGUACCUUUUUAACAGUAAAAAAAAAAAUCUUUAAUGUUUAUUUUUGAGAGAGAGCAUGAGAUGGGGAGGGGCAGAGAAAGAGGGAGACACAGAAUUUGAAGCAGGUUCCAGGCUUAGCUGUCAGCACAGAGCCCGACGCAGGGCUCGAACCCACGAACUGUGAGAUCAUGACCUGAGCCAAAGUUGGAUGCUUAACCCACUGACCCACCCAGGUGCCCUACACUAGCCUUUCUAAUUUUUAUACCUUUGAUUUCUUUUUCUUGUCUUAUUAAAUUGACUGGGGCUGCUGGGACAAUACUGAAUAGAAACAUUGAGAGCAGAAAAUUUUUUGUAGCUACUAAGUAUGACAUUAGUACAGACUCUGUGUAAAUAUACCUUCAACUUGAAGACAGGUUUGCUGAAUUGUUUUUGUUUUGUUUUUGUAGUUUAUUUUGAGAGAGUGAGCAAGUCAGCAAGGGAUGGGGAGAGAACCACCACAAGCAGGCUCCACGCUCUAUCUCACAAACUAAGAUCAUGACCUGAGCUGAAAUCAAGAGUUGGAAGCUUAACCGACUGAGCCACCUAGGUGCCCAGGUUUGUGGAGUUUUUAUCAUGAACACAAAUUUUACCAGAUGCCCUUUCUACAUCUACUUAAAUGAUCUUCUGGUUUUCUGUCUUUAUUCAAUUAUGUGAAUUACACUGAUCCUCCCCCAUCCCCCACUCAGAUAUAAAGCUAGUAAUUGCAGAAAUCCUCAAGAACCUCAGCAUCCAAUGUGGGCAGUGAUGAGUGGACAGACAUCUGUGGGUUCUCUGCCAGGCUGGGUGGACUAUGGUCAUCCUCUCAGCCAGAGCUGCCUCAAGCAGAAAAAAGACCAUCACUGAAUUCUGCAUUAUUUGACUCGUAUGUAUUUAUUUACGUGUUUAGUUUUAGUGUUUAGCAUUUUCACCAAAUGCUCUAGAAAGACUGAAGGAAUGUGUAGUGAUUCUUAGGUGUAGAUCUGGGCACCAGAUACAUUCUGGGUGGAGAGAAGAAUACAGCCAUUUCUAACAGCAUCAGGAUAGUCCAUUAGGCCUUAAAAAGCUGGGUUCUGCCCACUUCCUCUCUGAACUACAACAGGUUCCUGCUUUCUAGGGGCCGGAGACUGGCAUGAGUUCAGAUCUGGAAAUUUUCGGUGAAGGAGCCCCCAUGACAGUCAUCACUGAUCUCCUCGCUCAGCUGCUGACAAAAAAAAUGAGGCAGCCAUGGAUCAAGAAAUGGCUUAGUCUGCAGACAAGAGAACAGACAGCCUUGCCCUUACGUCCCGUCAAAAUGACAGUUAAUACACUGCUUGUAAGCUCCAUACUACUUGUUUCCCUUUAUCGAGUGGUUACAGGUCUAGAAUCAAACAGUUCUAACCCUCAGUCUCUGUGAAGGUUGCCUCUGAGGGACUUAGUCAAACCAACUAAUAGAGCUGUCAGACAAUGUGGUUUUGCAAGGAUGCCCCUCUGCCCCCUUUAUCCCGCCCCAGCUCACUGCCAGUGUGAGAGUGAGGGCUCUAAAAUGGAGAGCAGGACAUCUCCCAUUUUAUGGAUGCCACAGGAGCUGCCCAGGACCCUUGUGACUAUGAGAUUGCUAAUGGUGGAGUGUGGAUCAUGUCACAGCGGGGAGGGCCUUAAUUCUGGUGUUAGCUUUGCUUUCUUGAUAAUAUAAAGGAGAUAAAAGGAUGCGAAGAGAGGGUGCUAGAGAAGGAGUCCAGUUCUGCCUCACCCUGUGAAACUAUGCUCAUCACUGCAGGCCUCAGUUUCCCUGUCUGUGAAUGCCAGACUGGACUGGAUGGACCCUUUCACAGCCUGACAUUGGUGUGCUCACCAAAAUGCUUAAAAAACUUGACCGGAGGGGCAUCUGGGUGGCUCAGUCAAGUGUCUGACUUCGGCUCAGGUCAUGAUCUCACGGUUCGUGAGUUUAAGCCCUGCAUCGGGCUCUGCUUUGGCAUUGUAGAGCCUGCUUGGGAUACUCUCUCCCUCUCUCCCCUCCUCAGAUUGCACAUGCACUCUCUCUCUCACAAAAUAAACUUUAAAAAAAAAAAAAAAAAAAAGAACUUGACUGGAGUGCACUGGAGAAAAUCAGAAAAGUGAAACAAGAGAAUACAUUAAAACAGCUACUUUGAGAAAUUUUACUAGAAAAGAAAAGAAGCAGAGUGCUAGAGGGGGAAACAAAAAAAAGAAAGUUUUAAGAUAAAAAACAUACUACUCUGUCCUGUGCCGAUGAGGAUCUACCAGAGAUGGAAAAUGGAUAGUGCAGGAGAGAGAAGUCGGGACUCAUGGCACAAAGGGCAGGGGGGUUCUGACAGGAGCAAGGACGACAGAUUGCUCGCGGUGCCACGGGAGAGGAGGUAGAGCUUACAGGUGCAGACAGCUGCGUAUGGCAAUUAUCUAGUGAUUGCUUCUAUUUUCUUGGUCAGACAGGUAGCCAGAUCAUUGUACCAGAGAGCAAAUGAGAGAAGGAGAUGCCGCCAGUUUGAGGAGAAGGUAUGAAUCUACCUAAUUGUCCAAGAGGACGGGGAACGAAAGGCAGUGCACACAACACCCCACGCUUCAAUACUGACCGAGUUGCAGGCAUUUGCUCUUUCUAUUUUAGAAAGACCCUUCAAUUCGGUAUCAAAUACAUUCAUCUUCUCUACUAGGCAAGUGAGAGCAGUCUCUGUAGCUUCCCCAACUUUUUCAUACACGCCCUUCGCCUGUAUUGGUUAAAAGCAUAAAGUGAAAAAGCAGUGAAUAAGUUUUUCAUCAAUAAAGACUUCCCAUCAGA